This 73-nucleotide transfer RNA is filed under the name Streptomyces caniferus. RNAcentral's name for it is "tRNA-Arg". The record is from RNAcentral. Lineage: Bacteria; Bacillati; Actinomycetota; Actinomycetes; Kitasatosporales; Streptomycetaceae.
GGCGGCUGCGGGGACGCUGACGCCCGGUCCGGCUCCUGCCCGGGCGCGGCCGGUUCGGCGCCGCCGGGUGCCU